This 1860-nucleotide long non-coding RNA is filed under the name Salmo salar (Atlantic salmon). RNAcentral describes it as "lncRNA (ENSSSAG00000119379.1)". The record is from RNAcentral. Lineage: Eukaryota; Metazoa; Chordata; Actinopteri; Salmoniformes; Salmonidae.
CUCGGGAGUUAAACGUGAUUCAUUUCCAAGCGGUCUCACGUGCCAAGCACUUCAUCUAUGGUCUUGACUAGCCUACUUGAUUGCAUUGGGCAGGACAAAAAGAAAACAGCUUUCAGUGGACGGGAGGCUAUGAGCAUAUGGGCAGUGUGCGUCAAGGCUGCAUAAGCUGCAUUUUCCCCUAUCAAAGUUCAUGCCAUAAUGAACUGCAUUAAUGCUAAAACCAGCUUUGGAUCAUGUUUUUAAAACUUCUUAGGGAUAGCCCCCUUUUUUUCAAUUUUUUGCCUAAAAUGACAUUCCCAAAUCUAACUGCCUGUAAAUCAGGCCCUGAAGCAAGGAUAUGCAUAUUCUUGGUACCAUUUGAAAGGGAACACUUUGAAGUUUGUGGAAAUGUGAAUUGAAUGUAGGAGAAUAUAACACAAUAUAUCUGGUAGAAGAAAAUACAAAGAAAAAAAACUGUUUUUUUUCUACCACCAUCUUUUAAAUGCAACAGAAAGGUCCCAGUUCUAGCCAUCACUCUGGAUGUAAUUCCGAUGGUGUCCACAAGAGCAGCAGUGUAUGUGCAAAGUCUCAGAUGGAUAACAUGAAGUAUGAAUGAACUACAUGACAUUUAUUUUGAAGUCACCCAGGUAAAUUUGGGCAAAUCAUGAAGGAGACAUUCGCAUUCAUAUUACAUAUUUCUGCAAGAAUAUCGUCAAAUCUGUAUACUUGGACUUUGAUUUAGCUUUUCCAAUAUUAGUAGCCAUAUUUUUAAGUUCAACAUUUGCAAAACAACCAGUUUUCACAACUUUAUAACUCUGAAUAUUCUUAUAAUUUUUGUCCAAAAGAAAAAGGAAUGCUGUCGCACAAGGUUAGCAGCUACAGUUGAAGUCGGAAGUUUACAUACACUUAGGUUGUUAUGGAUAGGGGGCAGUAUUUUCACGGCCGGAUAAAAAACGUACCCGAUUUAAUCUGGUUAUUACUCCUGCCCAGAAACUAGAAUAUGCAUAUAAUUAGUAGCUUUGGAUAGAAAAUACUCCAAAGUUUCUAAAACUGUUUGAAUGGUGUCUGUGAGUAUAACAGAACUCAAAUGGCAGGCCAAAACCUGAGAAGAUUCUGUACAGGAAGUACCCUGUCUGACCAUUUCUUGGCCUUCUUUGUCAUCUCUAUCCAAAACAAAGGAUCUCUGCUGUAACGUGACACGUUCUAAGGCUCCCAUAGGCUCUCAGAAUGCGCCAGAACGUUGAAUGAUGACUCUGCAGUUACUGGCUGAAAAACAGUACCGCAUUUGAGUCCCCCAGUCUAUUGCCAGGAGUGAGGGUGUGAUCUUCGUCCUCGCUGAAUGAGAUUAGGGCUAGUGCUAUGACAGAUGAGCCACCUCUGGCGCCAGCGUGGAGAGAUACAACGUCUUAUCAACCCCAAUGAAAGGGAAUAACACAAUCAUCUGUGGAUCGAAAAUGUACAGUAUAUCUGUAGUGCCAAGCAGAGGCGGUAUUGUCCUUAAAAGAUGUACAGAGACACUCUGCUCACCGGAUAAUGAAAGGGAUUGGUGACUGAGAUGAUAUGGUUUAUCACAAGCAAAUAAUAGUCUCUUCGUGAAGUCUUUAUUAUCAAAAUGCAGAUGUGUAGACCAAACUAAGGAAUUACUAUAAGAGCCACACAAUUCACUGCUUGGGAACUAAGUUCCUUAUCUCUUUAAGCCACUCACUCUGUUGGCUCAACCAAUAGCAGGACAGUAGGCUUUGUCCUGUGUUGUUGGGAGAUGCAUAUUGGACGUGAGUUGACGUUAGGCAGGUUGUGUGAAUCCCGUCCAGCUGCUCACUCUACCCACACUGCACCUGAGAGAUUCAGCGACUCCCCACGCCAGCUGAAGAAGGUGACUCA